UACAACCUAAAACUCUCUCUAAAGGUUCUCACGUAGUUCAAGAGCUAAUCCUUAGGUGCUCAAAGUGAAUCAAACGCUUGAAACCUUGUGGUGGCUAUUUUCAGAGAUUUCUUCAUGGUGAAGUAAGCUUGAGUUGGAGCUGUUCUUGAUGAUUGAAUAUGAGAUUAUGACUCUUCUACUUUUUCUUGAGCUUAUCUAAUUCAUAGUUAUCUUAUCGUUAAAGAACUUGUAAGAUAAAAGGAGUAAAAACCAUCUUUGAUGUGUUGUAGUUUUUAGACUGUUUUGGAAUAUUUUUGAGCUAUAUUGUCGCAGAAAAAUUAUGGAGAACAACUUGGGUUUGUUUUUAUUGAUCGUGUUAUUAUUCUUAUGGAGAAAGCAAGGUUCUGGUUGUGGCUAUGAGAUGAGCUCGUCGCUCAAUACGCUAUAUUCUAGUUUCCUUUUCAUUGACGAAAGUCCUAUUGCCGUUUAUGAUUGUUGUUGCUGCGCCACUUAUUGGCUGAUUAUGAGCUUAAUUCUAAGUUAAAUUCAUGGAUGGUUUACGUGGAAAGAGGGCUGGUUAUGUGUUGCUGGUUGUGUUGCUCGAUUUAAAAAAAGAAGAAGUUGGAAAUGUGCCAUUUAGUAAUCUGAGAUCGAGCUUAUCGCUCAUUACUUUAUUGUUGAGUUGCUGGCUGGUUGUAGUCAUUAUUAUGCCUAUUGUAGGCUUGGGGAAAGUACUAAAAUAAGGGGAGAUGCUACUCGAUUUUUUAUAGUAACGAGUUAUCAUUUAAUAUACGUCGCAUACUGGUUUUCUUUAAGUUAACAAACGUAUUGUCAUUGUUAUAGGUUGAGGUGCUACUCGGGAAAAGUUUGUUUUCGAGUUGGUACAGACGACGAGAGGCAUGUAAUUGCUAUCCAUUUUCUUUUAUUGGCAUGAAUCUGUAGUAAGUACGAGUUGGAUGAAUCUUAUACGAGAA
Molecule: long non-coding RNA, 953 nt
Filed under: Nicotiana tabacum (common tobacco)
Lineage: Eukaryota; Viridiplantae; Streptophyta; Magnoliopsida; Solanales; Solanaceae
Description: long non-coding RNA (NTAB_LNC017349)
Source: RNAcentral